This 67-nucleotide transfer RNA is filed under the name Sorineuchora nigra. Its description in RNAcentral is "tRNA-His". The record is from RNAcentral. Lineage: Eukaryota; Metazoa; Arthropoda; Insecta; Blattodea; Pseudophyllodromiidae.
GCUUGAGUAGUUUAAUUAAAAUACUGAUUUGUGGUAUCAGUGAUAUGCAUAUAUUGUAUCUUAGGUU